This 73-nucleotide transfer RNA is filed under the name Mannheimia haemolytica. RNAcentral's name for it is "tRNA-OTHER". It matches the Rfam family "tRNA". From Rfam's summary of the family: Transfer RNA (tRNA) molecules are approximately 80 nucleotides in length. Their secondary structure includes four short double-helical elements and three loops (D, anti-codon, and T loops). The record is from RNAcentral. Lineage: Bacteria; Pseudomonadati; Pseudomonadota; Gammaproteobacteria; Pasteurellales; Pasteurellaceae.
UGGGGUAUCGCCAAGCGGUAAGGCACCGUUUUGAUCUCGGCAUCCCUAGGUUCGAAUCCUAGUACCCCAGCCA